RNAcentral lists this ribosomal RNA (504 nucleotides) under uncultured bacterium. Its description in RNAcentral is "partial 16S ribosomal RNA". It matches the Rfam family "Bacterial small subunit ribosomal RNA", at positions 30 to 523 of the family's 1533-position model. The record is from RNAcentral.
AUUGAACGCUGGCGGCAGGCCUAACACAUGCAAGUCGAACGGUAGCACAGAGAGCUUGCUCUCAGGUGACGAGUGGCGGACGGGUGAGCAAUGUCUGGGAAACUGCCCGAUGGAGGGGGAUAACUACUGGAAACGGUAGCUAAUACCGCAUAACGUCACAAGACCAAAGUGGGGGACCUUCGGGCCUCACACCAUCGGAUGUGCCCAGAUGGGAUUAGCUAGUAGGUGGGGUAAUGGCUCACCUAGGCGACGAUACCUAGCUGGUCUGAGAGGAUGACCAGCCACACUGGAACUGAGACACGGUCCAGACUCCUACGGGAGGCAGCAGUGGGGAAUAUUGCACAAUGGGCGCAAGCCUGAUGCAGCCAUGCCGCGUGUAUGAAGAAGGCCUUCGGGUUGUAAAGUACUUUCAGCGGGGAGGAAGGCGGUGGAGUUAAUAACUUCACCGAUUGACGUUACCCGCAGAAGAAGCACCGGCUAACUCCGUGCCAGCCGCCGCCGUAA